AACGAACGCUGGCGGCAUGCCUAACACAUGCAAGUCGAACGAGACCUUCGGGUCUAUUGGCGCACGGGUGCGUAACGCGUGGGAACCUGCCCUUAGGUUCGGAAUAACUCCCCGAAAGGGGUGCUAAUACCGGAUAAUGUCUUCGGACCAAAGAUUUAUCGCCUUUGGAUGGGCCCGCGUUGGAUUAGCUAGUUGGUAGGGUAAAAGCAUACCAAGGCGACGAUCCAUAGCUGGGCUGAGAGGAUGAUCAGCCACACUGGGACUGAGACACGGCCCAGACUCCUACGGGAAGCAGCAGUGGGGAAUAUUGGACAAUGGGCGAAAGCCUGAUCCAGCAAUGCCGCGUGAGUGAUGAAGGCCUUAGGGUUGUAAAGCUCUUUUACCCGGGAUGAUAAUGACAGUACCGGGAGAAUAAGCUCCGGCUAACUCCGUG
Molecule: ribosomal RNA, 433 nt
Filed under: uncultured bacterium
Lineage: Bacteria
Description: partial 16S ribosomal RNA
Rfam family: Bacterial small subunit ribosomal RNA
Source: RNAcentral